GCGGUGCAACAGCAUGAGGGUAGUAGACGAGCAACAACCACAGCGCAUGCGCUAAGCCAUAGCCAGCCAGGUACCGAGAGACCCGCAUGGAGCAUGCGCCUGGUGAAGGCGCCGCUAAGCCCCUCUGUCGCCGGCAGCCAACGGCGCAUGCGCGGGAGAGUUGGUGUCUUGGCCACGCGAGAGAGAGGGAUCCCCCCUGCGGCUGGCGCAUGCAGCAUGGUACCGGAUGUAAGAUGAAGUUAUGUUUAUGAUGGAUCAUGAAGCUCCUACAAUUAGACCUAGAAGAAUUCAGAACCAGAAUAUAAUCCACCGCCUUGAGUGUCGGAAAAUCAGUUCUGGAAAGCCCGGCUCCCACUGGCACCAGGUUCGCAUCUUCCACCAGAAUAUCUUUCCGAAUUACACCGUGGUCAAUGUGGAGAAGCCACCUUGUUUCCUUCGCAAGUUCUCACCUGAUGGUAGAUAUUUUAUUGCAUUUUCCUCAGACCAGACCUCCUUAGAAAUCUAUGAGUAUCAAGGCUGCCAGGCAGCGGAAGAUCUCUUGAAUGGGUAUGAAGGGGAAAUACUGGCAAACUCUAAUGACCAGAGGUCUGUAAAUAUUCGAGGGCGUUUGUUUGAACGCUUCUUUGUUCUCCUCCAUAUCACUAAUGUAGCUUCCAAUGGGGAGCACCUUAACCGUGAGUGUAGCCUCUUUACAGAUGACUGCCGCUAUGUCAUUGUGGGGUCAGCAGCCUAUCUUCCCGAGGAACCAUAUCCACCUUUUUAUGAAAUCUACCGUAACAGUGAGUCAGUGACGCCCAAUCCAAGGUCUCCAUUAGAAGACUACUCCCUUCAUAUAAUAGACCUUCACACAGGCAAGCUGUGUGACUCGAGGACCUUCAAAUGUGAUAAAAUAAUUCUCUCUCACAAUCAAGGCCUUUACUUGUACAAAAACAUUUUGGCAAUUCUAUCGGUGCAGCAGCAAACAAUUCACGUAUUUCAAGUGACAGCAGAGGGCGCGUUCAUUGAUGUCCGGACAAUAGGACGUUUCUGCUAUGAGGAUGACCUUCUAAUAUUGUCAGCUGUUUACCCUGAAGUGCAACGUGAAACUCAAACUGGAAUGGCAAAUUUAUACAAAGAGCCGUUUAUUAAUUCAUUAAAGCACAGAUUACUGGUAUAUUUAUGGAGGAGAGCAGAACGAGAUGGCAGUGCCAUGGCCAAAAGACGAUUUUUUCAGUAUUUUGACCAGCUGAGGCAGCUCCGCAUGUGGAAGAUGCAGCUACUAGAUGAAAGCCACCUGUUCAUUAAGUACACCAGCGAGGACGUUGUUACACUACGAGUCAACGACCCAUCACAGAUCAGUGGUUCCCAAACUGUGUGCCUGGGUACACUGGGGUACCGAGAGCCUCUUGCAGAGAUUCUUCAGCCUUCCUUUUUUGUGGUGUACAAUAUGGUCACCACGGAAGUUAUUGCAGUCUUUGAAAACACGUCCAAUGAGCUGUUAGAACUGUUUGAAAACUUCUGUGACCUGUUCAGGAACGCAACUCUUCACAGUGAGGCCGUGCAGUUCCCCUGCUCUGCCUCCAGCAACAACUUUGCUAGACAGAUUCAGCGGCGGUUUAAAGACACCAUUGUAAAUGCAAAGUACGGAGGCCAUACAGAAGCGGUGAGGAGGCUUCUGAGUCAGCUGCCCAUCAGCGCCCAGUCCUACAGUGGAAGCCCUUACCUUGACCUGUCUCUCUUCAGCUAUGAUGAUAAGUGGGUAUCUGUUAUGGAGAGGCCUAAAACAUGCGGUGAUCACCCAAUCAGGUGAUGACUACAGGUAUCCGAGUCCCCACUGUAAAAAACAAAAAUGCUACAUGAGCCGUUGAAUAAAUCAAGAUGCUGCUGUUUAUAGUCAUAUUAAGCCAAUUUAGUUAACAAAGACAACUAGAUCCCAACAGAAAUGGAGAAAGCAAUAAGGAAAAAGUGAAAAUUUCAGGAACAAGCAUGAUUUAUAGGCAGUGAUUAUUAUUACAUUAGGAAAAUGUUAAUUUAUGGUGAUAGAAUUGUAUAGGCAGUUAAUGACCAGCCGAUCCAGCUAAACUGGCCAGUUACUUAUCUGUCUCAAGAACAUAUCGGUCAUGUUUGCGCUAAUUGGUUUCUAAUAUCCAUUUGUCCUUUACCGUGUGAGUUUUGUUUACCAUUUUAAACUUUGCUACUUCGUCAAGAAGCUUGUUCCAGGCUUCCACUAACCUUUCAGCAAUUUAAAGAUUACGUAUUAUCAUCUCUGUUAGACAAAGCAUCAGACAUAUAUUUGCCAGCUCUCCUACUCUCGGAGUAGUCCGCUGAAGGCUUCCCCUUCUCUUAUUCUGCUGUGAGACACUGAAUUUUCCCAUUGCACUGUAAGGGCCUGCAGUCUCAGAGCAGAAUGGAGACUUGCAUGGGUAAGUGUCCAUGCUUUAGACUAUUCAUGCUCACUUAGUUAUAUCAUGUCAUUUCUGGUUACUUUUGGAUUUAUAAUGUAGUAAGUGUCCAACUAUUUUUUAACAGUGUAAGUCCUCGUAGCUCAAUGAACAGUGUUAAACAUCAAACCAUUGGUAUGAUUUACUUGCAAUAACUAAGCCUUCUGUGUGGCUUGCUGUUGAAUCAUGACUGGCACUGGCCAUUAUAUAUUUUUUUAAACAAAACUGUUUAACUCCGUCAUUUGCAGAAAAGUAGAUGUGGAUGUAUAAUGGUCGCACUUGCCGUUUGCUCCAUCUUAUUGAGGUUCAGGACACCUGGUACAGCUGUAGGUUCUAUGCAAGAGAUUCUGGACUUCUAAAGUUUAAAAUCCAGGCUGGUCUUCUUGGGCGGCCCAUCAAUCACACAGUGCGCAG
RNA transcript from Pseudophryne corroboree (corroboree frog), 2834 nucleotides. It is a transcript of the gene named DET1 partner of COP1 E3 ubiquitin ligase, with no coding region annotated. The transcript is spliced from 8 exons. NCBI's taxonomy places the organism in Eukaryota, Metazoa, Chordata, Amphibia, Anura, Myobatrachidae. The record is from RefSeq and is a predicted model, not a curated record.